AUCAUCAGUAGUGGUUAAUACUAUCUCAAGAUAAUAUUAAUUAAUUACAUUUUUAUGGAAACCUAACGGUUUGAUUAUUCGAGUUCUCCCGUCGUGGUGAGUUUUGCUGGAGGAAGUCCAUUCCGAAGGUGAGUUGCUUAUCUGCGAUUAGUUAAUACUAGGACGCGAAUUUUUAAAGCCAUCGAUAUAACCCAUAGCUGAAUGGCACUUGACCACCCCCAAACAAGGUGGCUACAGGUAUCAUUUCGUUUCCGGUUUCUUAGAAUAACAUUUAUUUUAUGAGGGAGUCCUCUCUUCCCGCCAAGACAGACUAUAUUUUUAUAUUUUGCUUGGCAAUGUUGGGGGAGGAAAGUGCAUGUCUCCAGAGGGUGAUAUAAUGUUGCCUGAGAGUUUGGAAUUCUGCAGUGCUCUUCUUCAUGGUAAGACAUUU
RNAcentral lists this small nucleolar RNA (430 nucleotides) under Huiozyma naganishii CBS 8797. RNAcentral's name for it is "Kazachstania naganishii CBS 8797 Small nucleolar RNA snR37". It matches the Rfam family "Small nucleolar RNA snR37". The record is from Rfam by way of RNAcentral. Lineage: Eukaryota; Fungi; Ascomycota; Saccharomycetes; Saccharomycetales; Saccharomycetaceae.